This 26-nucleotide non-coding RNA is filed under the name Homo sapiens (human). The record is from RNAcentral. Lineage: Eukaryota; Metazoa; Chordata; Mammalia; Primates; Hominidae.
UACUGGCUGCAGCAGCAAUUGAUUGC